AUCCUGUUAUGUCGUCUGUCGAGAGAUAGCAAGGAAAUGAUUAGGUCCCGAAGGAAGAUAGUGUAAUGGUUGUGAGGGCGCUCUCUCCAUUUCAUAUUAUAUCGUUCACAUACAGUAUAGGUGUCCUGUCCAAAAUAAUAUAUUUCUCUUUUUAUGAGUCUUGUACUGCUAGUCAACAAAUCAUGAUGAGAGCAGUUCAGAUAGACCAGCCUGGAGGACCUGAGAACCUUUAUAUUGGACAAGUUCCUAUUCCCACACCAGGCAGUAAGGAAAUACUGAUACAAGUCAAAGCUACAGCAAUCAACAGGGCUGAUACACUGCAAAGGCGUGGGAUGUAUCCACCACCUCCAGGUGUGACAGACAUUCUGGGACUGGAAGCUGCUGGUAUUAUAAGUAAAUUAGGACCUGGAUGCAGUGGGCGGUGGGCAGUUGGUGACAGAGUAAUGACUCUUUUAUCAGGUGGUGGCAAUGCAGAAUAUGUGGUGUCACCUGAAGGGCUACUUAUGCCAAUCCCAUCUGGGAUGGACUUUACAGAAGCUGCUGCUAUACCAGAAGUGUGGCUCACAGCAUUUAAACUGCUCCACACUGUUGGAAAAGUACAGGCAGGUGAAUCAGUUCUUAUCCAUGCUGGGGCAAGUGGAGUGGGAACUGCAGCCAUUCAGCUAUGCAUUCAGGCUAAAGCUCAUCCAUACAUCACUGCUGGCAGUUCCGCCAAAAUCCAAUCAGCAGUUCGCCUUGGUGCAGUGGAAGGGUUUAACUAUAAGGAAGAAAAUGUGGGUGCUAGAGUACUGGAGGCCACUGGAGGAAAGGGUGUAAAUGUCAUUCUUGACUGUGUUGGAAGUUCCAUGUAUGAGCAUAAUCUCAAUGCCAUUGCUGUAGACGGUAGAUGGAUCAUAUAUGGACUUCUAGGUGGUGGAGAUGUGAGUGGUGAUUUUCUGCGCAAAGUGCUUUCUAAAAGAAUUACUCUGACAGGGACAACCCUUCGAGCUCGAUCACUUGAGUUCAAGCAAGAGCUGGUCUCCAACUUCACUAAAGAUGUGCUACCUUUGUUUGAAAACGGGGCAUUCAAGCCAAUUAUUCACACUGUCCUAAGUCUUGAGAAAAUUGCAGAAGCUCAUAAGUUGAUGGAAGCAAAUGUCAAUACAGGCAAAAUUAUUCUGACGGUCAACUCAGGAGACGAACACCAAGAACUUUGAUAUAAAAUGGGGUUAUAUUUUGGAUGCUGUUGCUGCUCAACUCCUUUGAAAACUGCAAAAUCUUUUUAUCACAUGGUGGAAUGUGGCAAGGGCAAACAGGGCAUUUGUCUGUGCCAUUAAUAGGAAAGAAAGAAUCAUAACUCUGAGAAGUGUGACUGUACUGAAUAUAUGGAUCUAUAACAUUCUUUUAGCAUUUGGAUUUCAUUCUUUAGCAAAAUCAGAUUGUGAUAUUAAAGAUAAAAUUUAGAUUUUGAUACUAUCGCACAUUAGCUAUUAAAAACUAACAAAACAAUAAUAUAUUUGAAAUAAUCAUAUUUUUAAUUUGUGCAUUUAAGACAGUGUUUUUAUUGUUUUUUAAAGUUAAAACAUUGCACACAUGUUAAAUGUAUGGAUAAUCUGAAGGCAAAAGAGAAAAAAAGGUCAUACAUUUCAUCAGUUACUGAAACUAAAAAAGAUCAUAGUAUUGACAGGAAUGUUUCGGUGUAUCAACAUUAUAUAGUAUGUUUACACAUUUGCAUUUUUCAGCACUCCUGCAUUUGUGUUGCUGUGCAUACAUUGAUGAAAUGCUAGGAAUAAUCCAUUUCUGGUGUGUGUAUGUUAAUAUUUCAAAUUAACUUGAUGGUCUGAAAGCGCAUUACAUUCAAUUUUGCUUAUGUUGUGUGGAUUCAUACAAAUGUUAGUAUACGAGAGAGAGA
Pomacea canaliculata is the source of this 1891-nucleotide RNA transcript. It is a transcript of the gene named quinone oxidoreductase PIG3-like, with no coding region annotated. The transcript is spliced from 9 exons. Lineage: Eukaryota; Metazoa; Mollusca; Gastropoda; Architaenioglossa; Ampullariidae. The record is from RefSeq and is a predicted model, not a curated record.